AUUGAACGCUGGCGGCAUGCUUUACACAUGCAAGUCGAACGGUAACAGGCCUUCGGGUGCUGACGAGUGGCGAACGGGUGAGUAAUGCAUCGGAACGUACCCAGAGGUGGGGGAUAACGCAGCGAAAGCUGUGCUAAUACUGCAUGUGAUCUGAGGAUGAAAGCGGGGGACCGAGCAGCAAUGUUUGGCCUCGCGCCUUUGGAGCGGCCGAUGUCGGAUUAGCUAGUUGGUGGGGUAAAGGCCUACCAAGGCGACGAUCCGUAGCUGGUCUGAGAGGACGACCAGCCACACUGGGACUGAGACACGGCCCAGACUCCUACGGGAGGCAGCAGUGGGGAAUUUUGGACAAUGGGCGCAAGCCUGAUCCAGCAAUGCCGCGUGCGGGAAGAAGGCCUUCGGGUUGUAAACCGCUUUUGGCAGGAACGAAACGGUGUCCGCUAAUACCGGGCGCUAAUGACGGUACCUGCAGAAUAAGCACCGGCUAACUACGU
Molecule: ribosomal RNA, 491 nt
Filed under: uncultured bacterium
Lineage: Bacteria
Description: partial 16S ribosomal RNA
Rfam family: Bacterial small subunit ribosomal RNA
Source: RNAcentral